Molecule: long non-coding RNA, 508 nt
Filed under: Medicago truncatula (barrel medic)
Lineage: Eukaryota; Viridiplantae; Streptophyta; Magnoliopsida; Fabales; Fabaceae
Description: lncRNA gene8401
Source: RNAcentral
UACCAAUUCCCACUACCAUUGAGAAGAAGGAUAUGGUCUAAGUUAGGUUGUUUCCAUGUUUGAGGGAUGAAUGUGAUGUGUUUCUUCAAGUCUUUGUAACAAAAUAAAACAAGUUUUUUCUUUCAAUUUAAGUUUGUCCAUGAAAUGUUAGCUUCAAGUGCAAUGUAUCAAAUUUUCUCGUCUAUCUCUCUAACAAGUCGAUCAUAGUUUUCUCUAUCUAAAUUUUCUUUUUCAUUUACUUCAACGAAAGGGUAGUUUUGGAUCAAUGUUUGACAUAAAAUCACUCAUCUUAAUUGUUUUAUCUCUAUUUCAAUUUAAUAAGUGAUUUUCACAUAGAUCUAGUUUUUUUGUUGUGAUUUCGUCACUCUGCAGUGUUCUGUUGUUCGUCGUCUUGUGUAGCAUUAUUUGAUUUUUUGUCUUGUUGCGAUGUUCAUUUGGUUCCUAUUGAAAGAUUGUCUUUUCAAUCAAUGAUUUGGGUGUCAACGUUGUCCGGAGAUAUGAGUAUUCC